RNAcentral lists this ribosomal RNA (492 nucleotides) under uncultured bacterium. RNAcentral describes it as "partial 16S ribosomal RNA". It matches the Rfam family "Bacterial small subunit ribosomal RNA", at positions 29 to 507 of the family's 1533-position model. The record is from RNAcentral.
AUUGAACGCUGGCGGCAUGCUUUACACAUGCAAGUCGAGCGGUAACAGGCCUUCGGGUGCUGACGAGUGGCGAACGGGUGAGUAAUGCAUCGGAACGUACCCAGAGGUGGGGGAUAACGCAGCGAAAGCUGUGCUAAUACCGCAUGUGAUCUGAGGAUGAAAGCGGGGGACCGAGCAGCAAUGUUUGGCCUCGCGCCUUUGGAGCGGCCGAUGUCGGAUUAGCUAGUUGGUGGGGUAAAGGCCUACCAAGGCGACGAUCUGUAGCUGGUCUGAGAGGACGACCAGCCACACUGGGACUGAGACACGGCCCAGACUCCUACGGGAGGCAGCAGUGGGGAAUUUUGGACAAUGGGCGCAAGCCUGAUCCAGCAAUGCCGCGUGCGGGAAGAAGGCCUUCGGGUUGUAAACCGCUUUUGGCAGGAACGAAACGGUGUCCGCUAAUACCGGGCGCUAAUGACGGUACCUGCAGAAUAAGCACCGGCUAACUACGUG